UUACGGGAGGCAGCAGCAAGGAAUUUUCCGCAAUGGGCGCAAGCCUGACGGAGCAACGCCGCGUGGGGGAGGACGCCCUUCGGGGUGUAAACCUCUUUUCUCGGGGACGACGAGCGACGGUACCCGAGGAAGAAGGACCGGCAAACUACGUGCCAGCAGCCGCGGUAAUACGUAGGGUCCGAGCGUUGUCCGGAGUUACUGGGCGUAAAGCGCGCGCAGGCGGCUGUCCAAGCCCGGCGUGAAAGCCCCCGGCUCAACCGGGGAGGGUCGUCGGGGACUGGGCGGCUUGAGGACGGCAGGGGUCGGUGGAAUUCCCGGUGUAGUGGUGAAAUGCGUAGAGAUCGGGAGGAACACCCGUGGCGAAGGCGGCCGACUGGGCCGGACCUGACGCUGAGGCGCGAAGGCGUGGGGAGCGAACGGGAUUAGAUACCCGAGUAGUC
Molecule: ribosomal RNA, 440 nt
Filed under: uncultured bacterium
Lineage: Bacteria
Description: bacterial SSU rRNA
Rfam family: Bacterial small subunit ribosomal RNA
Source: RNAcentral